GUGCCAGCCGCCGCGGUAAUACCGGCAGCCCGAGUGAUGGCCGAUCUUAUUGGGCCUAAAGCGUCCGUAGCUGGCCGCGCAAGUCCAUCGGGAAAUCCACCUGCUCAACGGGUGGGCGCCCGGUUGAAACUGCGCGGCUUGGGACCGGAAGGUGCGACGGGUACGUCCGGGGUAGGAGUGAAAUCCCAUAAUCCCGCACGGACCACCGAUGGCGAAAGCACUUCGAGAAAACGGAUCCGACAGUGAGGGACGAAAGCCAGGGUCUCCAACCGGAUUAGAUACCCGGUAGUCC
Molecule: ribosomal RNA, 292 nt
Filed under: uncultured bacterium
Lineage: Bacteria
Description: partial 16S ribosomal RNA
Rfam family: Archaeal small subunit ribosomal RNA
Source: RNAcentral